Molecule: long non-coding RNA, 1893 nt
Filed under: Homo sapiens (human)
Lineage: Eukaryota; Metazoa; Chordata; Mammalia; Primates; Hominidae
Description: HSALNT0401122
Source: RNAcentral
AGCGUUGCUCUUGGAUAAGUAUCAAUAACCUCAGAACUAUGGAAAGAACCAUGUGUGGAGUUUGGCACCACAGAUAUUCUCUGAGUGAUUGAAGUCUCUUCUACCAUGAGGCCUUGAAAGCUCCAUGAUAGAGAUGACAGAGCUAUAAGAUGAAAGCAGCCCAAAUCCCUGAGUCACCAAUGUUUGAAGAAGAGCUUCCCAGGAGAGGUACCAGACCCACAUGAGACUUCACAUGAUUAUAAAAUGAACUUCUAUUGUGUUGAAUCUCUGAACUUCAGGGUUGUUUUGCAGCACAGACUACAUUAUAGUGACAAGUAGAGGAAGGUACAGUAAAAGCCUUGCCAUCACUCCCAUUAUACAGAGGAAGAAACUGAGACCUAGAGAAGUUCAGAACCUUGCUACAUCAAUCAGAAGUACAAGCCAAGGCUCAUGAAGUGGUUUCCUUAUUUUCUCACCCCAAGUUAGGAUCACCUCCGAAGGAAAUGACUUACACCCAAAUCAGGAUCUGUUUUUGAGGGAACCCAACAUAACACAUGGAGAGAUGGGUUUCCUAUGAAGAAGGAAAUAUGGGCUGUAAAAUACCACGGAGAGUCAGAGUUCAAUUUCUCAGACAUUCACUUUACCCGGAAGUCCAGCUGUGACAGCUAAUAGAUGAAACCAUCCAAUUUGCAAGUUCCCCUGAGUCUCUGCUGUAAAAUCAGCCUGAUCCUCAGGAAGUUCCACACCUAGGUCUCCACUCUCAGCCCUAUGACCUCACCUCCACAGACUCUGCACUUGAGCAUUCCACCCUCAGCGCUUGUGAAAGGAGUCAUGGGAGACACAAGGCUGGAGGAUGUGUCUGCAUCUUCAGAAACCCGCUAACAGGGACAGCGUCUGUGAUACCGGCUGACGCUCAUUAAACCAAGGCUCUAGUAGCCUGUUCCUCUCAGAUUUCAGAACUAAAAGAACAGUCUGGUUAUCCUGACUUCUUCUUUUAUCAUAAGAUGCUGCAAGUCGAAUCUACAGCAGUCAGGGUUAAGAGAAAUCAUUAAGUAAUAACAAAGUCAGGAGUUUCUUCUCUGAGGUAAGCUUUGCUGGAAAUUUCUCGUCCCUACUCAAGAUGGCAACCAAGGACACUUUGGAGAUAGCAGCUUAGAAAUGGCCCUGAAGUGGGUCUUUCCUUAGACUUUAGGUGAAAACACUUUCCCCUGAUCCUCUGGGGAAACGGCUCCCCUGAGGUUGUCUGGGGUUUUUACAGAGCUCUUCUAAAGACCCUGGGCCUUGGGGCAUGCUGUUUAAUUUACUGGGUUAUUGGCUGUCAUAUUGAAGACAAAUGCAUCCAAGGAAAAAAUGGCUCAAGAAGAACAGACUCCUCCAUCACUUCAAUCAAGGGGUCCUUCACGAACAUGCUUCAUUAACAGCAAAAAGGGCUGUUGGGGUGCUUUGUCCUUACUCUACAUCCCCCUCUCAGCUCUGCAAGACUACUGCUGUCCUCCCAGCAAACCAAGCCCGGCAGAGAGAGAAGCCAUCACAGGAACACAGUUGGCCUCAGCAGCCUGAUGCUCUCAAGGAAUGUGUUGAAUCACUACACAGAUAAUCAGAAGGCAGCUGCUAAGGUUCAGAAGAGAAACAGCAGGUUCUAUCAUUAAGUGAGAAGCUGCCCACAUGAAGAGUUGCCCUAGGCCCCCGAAUGUGACUAAAACACAGCCCAAGAAGGCCGCUACAGCUGCAAUUCCAUGCCUGUGCUGAGGCCCCUGCGUGUCUAGCGCCACUGUACUCUUCGACUCCAAGGUGUACCAUUCAUGUGGAAGGCUAUGUAAAUCAUGCUUCUUGGAGGGAGGCCAGGCCACAGCCCUGCAGGUGGGCACAUCCUGUAUCAGUCCAUUCUCAUGUUACUGAUAAAGACAUACCUAA